This 73-nucleotide transfer RNA is filed under the name Bacteroidota bacterium. Its description in RNAcentral is "Bacteroidetes bacterium (hydrocarbon metagenome) tRNA-Thr". It matches the Rfam family "tRNA". Rfam says of the family: Transfer RNA (tRNA) molecules are approximately 80 nucleotides in length. Lineage: Bacteria; Pseudomonadati; Bacteroidota. The record is from RNAcentral. RNAcentral also lists the same sequence under 3 other names.
GCUGGUGUAGCUCAGUUGGUAGAGCAGCGGUUUUGUAAACCGCCGGUCGUAGGUUCGAGUCCUAUCACCAGCU